UGCCAUUUAAAUGCAAAGCGUAUGGCAACCUAGCAACUGUUUGUCGACAGCUGAUUGCAAAUUUAAUCAGUCCAUUAUGAGCAAGAAAUUUGAGUGGUCCGAAUUUAGACCAGCACCUUGUUACAAUCAAGUCGUACCUUGUUGAAAUGGCGUCAAUGGCAGUAUAAACGCUGGGGAUCUAAGUGGACGCCGUUGACUAAGGUGUUUAAUGCGCGUCCUGCCAGGCGGAUAAAUUUUACUCGCAACGAUGUGUCGGCAGUUGGUACAGCUACUCGAGUUCGAACGGAUAGCGCAUUCACAAUACAAGGCUCGCAGGCUGCAUCAGCUUUCGUAGCGUGGUAAAAAGCCUCAACACGAACCAUGUCCUUUAUAGAGAGCUAGCGAUUGUGUUCCUUUUGCACGAAAAGGAGCGGUCACGGAUUGAGCGUCUCAAUGUGGACAUUCUUUAGCCAUGUUGGAAGUUUAUUAAUGGGCCUUGAUCUGCAUCCGUCCGAGAAGAAGUGCUAUGCUGUUGAAAGCCCGGCUCGGCAGCUGCGCAUUAGCCACUUUGUGGGAUACGGAGCUGAGUAUUACGCCUGCCUCGUUUCGGUGACAAUCGCGUCAUCGUACUGCCAGAAGUAUUUAAUAGCAACGCCUUCAAAGUAAACAAAUCGAAAUGAUGCGUACCUUAUUGGCCGACACAUUAAUUUUGAUAGUGACCAAAAUGAGGCAAAAAUCAAGAAGCUGAUAAUCAGUUGUCUUCAUCUCCUCAGAUAUUUUAAAUUGUAUAAUAUGUUGUAGGUAUGGUUUACUAAAAUGUGCACUGUCAAAGUUGAAACACCUUUUUAUUAAAUAAAGAUUAUACGUUUUAAUUAGUUAAAAAUUAUUUAAUAGAUUAAAAAUUGCGAUAGGUACUCUGUAGGAUAUGUAUAAGUUAUUUUUGUACCGACCUUUAUAUUAUUAUUUCUUAAUUUCACUCGGGCCCGUUUGGGCAAAGAUCCGUUAAGUAAUAAAUUGAUUUGUUAAACCUGUUAAGGUAAAGGA
Drosophila eugracilis is the source of this 1023-nucleotide long non-coding RNA. RefSeq lists it as uncharacterized. The transcript has 2 exons. The record is from RefSeq and is a predicted model, not a curated record. Lineage: Eukaryota; Metazoa; Arthropoda; Insecta; Diptera; Drosophilidae.